This 576-nucleotide ribosomal RNA is filed under the name uncultured bacterium. RNAcentral's name for it is "bacterial SSU rRNA". It matches the Rfam family "Bacterial small subunit ribosomal RNA", at positions 102 to 674 of the family's 1533-position model. The record is from RNAcentral.
ACGGGUGAGUAAUACAUCGGAACGUAUCCUGGAGUGGGGGAUAGCCCGGCGAAAGCCGGAUUAAUACCGCAUACGCUCUGAGGAGGAAAGCGGGGGACCUUCGGGCCUCGCGCUCAAGGGGCGGCCGAUGGCGGAUUAGGUAGUUGGUGGGGUAAAGGCCUACCAAGCCGACGAUCCGUAGCUGGUCUGAGAGGACGACCAGCCACACUGGGACUGAGACACGGCCCAGACUCCUACGGGAGGCAGCAGUGGGGAAUUUUGGACAAUGGGGGCAACCCUGAUCCAGCAAUGCCGCGUGUGUGAAGAAGGCCUUCGGGUUGUAAAGCACUUUUGUCCGGAAAGAAAUCAUCGGGGCCAAUACCCCUGGUGGAUGACGGUACCGGAAGAAUAAGCACCGGCUAACUACGUGCCAGCAGCCGCGGUAAUACGUAGGGUGCGAGCGUUAAUCAGAAUUACUGGGCGUAAAGCGUGCGCAGGCGGUGCUGUAAGACCGAUGUGAAAUCCCCGGGCUUAACCUGGGAACUGCAUUGGUGACUGCAGCGCUGGAGUAUGGCAGAGGGGGGUGGAAUUCCACGU